RNAcentral lists this transfer RNA (71 nucleotides) under Bos taurus (domestic cattle). It matches the Rfam family "tRNA". Rfam says of the family: Transfer RNA (tRNA) molecules are approximately 80 nucleotides in length. Their secondary structure includes four short double-helical elements and three loops (D, anti-codon, and T loops). The record is from Rfam by way of RNAcentral. RNAcentral also lists the same sequence under 2 other names. Lineage: Eukaryota; Metazoa; Chordata; Mammalia; Artiodactyla; Bovidae.
UCCGUGGUGGCUUAGAGGAUAAAGCACCUGCCUGCAAUGCAGGAGACCCGGGUUGGGAAGAUCCCCUGGAG